This 1350-nucleotide ribosomal RNA is filed under the name Oxalobacteraceae bacterium NBGD42. RNAcentral describes it as "16S ribosomal RNA". It matches the Rfam family "Bacterial small subunit ribosomal RNA", at positions 96 to 1443 of the family's 1533-position model. The record is from RNAcentral. Lineage: Bacteria; Pseudomonadati; Pseudomonadota; Betaproteobacteria; Burkholderiales; Oxalobacteraceae.
UGGCCAACGGGUGAGUAAUAUAUCGGAACGUACCCUGGAGUGGGGGAUAACGUAGCGAAAGUUACGCUAAUACCGCAUACGAUCUAAGGAUGAAAGUGGGGGAUCGCAAGACCUCAUGCUCCUGGAGCGGCCGAUAUCUGAUUAGCUAGUUGGUAGGGUAAAAGCCUACCAAGGCAUCGAUCAGUAGCUGGUCUGAGAGGACGACCAGCCACACUGGAACUGAGACACGGUCCAGACUCCUACGGGAGGCAGCAGUGGGGAAUUUUGGACAAUGGGCGCAAGCCUGAUCCAGCAAUGCCGCGUGAGUGAAGAAGGCCUUCGGGUUGUAAAGCUCUUUUGUCAGGGAAGAAACGGUGAACUUCUAAUACAGAUUGCUAAAUGACGGUACCUGAAGAAUAAGCACCGGCUAAACUACGUGCCAGCAGCCGCGGUAAUACGUAGGGUGCAAGCGUUAAUCGGAAUUACUGGGCGUAAAGCGUGCGCAGGCGGUUUUGUAAGUCUGUCGUGAAAUCCCCGGGCUCAACCUGGGAAUGGCGAUGGAGACUGCAAGGCUAGAGUUUGGCAGAGGGGGGUAGAAUUCCACGUGUAGCAGUGAAAUGCGUAGAUAUGUGGAGGAACACCGAUGGCGAAGGCAGCCCCCUGGGUCAAAACUGACGCUCAUGCACGAAAGCGUGGGGAGCAAACAGGAUUAGAUACCCUGGUAGUCCACGCCCUAAACGAUGUCUACUAGUUGUCGGGUCUUAAUUGACUUGGUAACGCAGCUAACGCGUGAAGUAGACCGCCUGGGGAGUACGGUCGCAAGAUUAAAACUCAAAGGAAUUGACGGGGACCCGCACAAGCGGUGGAUGAUGUGGAUUAAUUCGAUGCAACGCGAAAAACCUUACCUACCCUUGACAUGGAAGGAAUCCCGGAGAGAUUUGGGGAGUGCCCGAAAGGGAACCCUUUACACAGGUGCUGCAUGGCUGUCGUCAGCUCGUGUCGUGAGAUGUUGGGUUAAGUCCCGCAACGAGCGCAACCCUUGUCAUUAGUUGCUACGAAAGAGCACUCUAAUGAGACUGCCGGUGACAAACCGGAGGAAGGUGGGGAUGACGUCAAGUCCUCAUGGCCCUUAUGGGUAGGGCUUCACACGUCAUACAAUGGUACAUACAGAGGGCCGCCAACCCGCGAGGGGGAGCUAAUCCCAGAAAGUGUAUCGUAGUCCGGAUUGUAGUCUGCAACUCGACUGCAUGAAGUUGGAAUCGCUAGUAAUCGCGGAUCAGCAUGUCGCGGUGAAUACGUUCCCGGGUCUUGUACACACCGCCCGUCACACCAUGGGAGCGGGUUUUACCAGAAGUAGGUAGGUUAACCGCA